Molecule: long non-coding RNA, 1357 nt
Organism: Heterocephalus glaber (naked mole-rat)
Lineage: Eukaryota; Metazoa; Chordata; Mammalia; Rodentia; Bathyergidae
Source: Ensembl
GAGGUGGCUUGCUGCCUGCCAUGUCAGCGACUGGCUGUCUUCUGCUACACUGCCCUGCCUUGGAACCAGAUGAACAUGGACCGAAACCUCAACAAACUGCAAGCUAAAAUGAAUCUUUCCUCUUUUAACUUUAGGGUCAAUUAUUUUGUCUCAGCAAUGUGAAAGUAACUAAGACAUUUUAAAAUUUCUUGUUAUUUUGAGACAGGAUCUCACUAAAUUACUAAGUUGCCCAGGCCAGGUUCAAACAUGAAUCUCAUGCCUCAGUUUCCCAGAGUUCUGAGAUUACAGAACCUCAUAUUCAAUCCAUGUCCUGUUGUUCAAAGUUAUUUUGAAAUGGGCCGAGUCUUAAUUGAAGUGGAAGUACCUGAAACCAGAGUUAAUAUCAGGAGCAACAGGGAGUCAGAUUCACGGAGGUAAACUGUUGCUAGUUCUGCAUUUCAAGCCCUUUUGGCUCCUGGGCCAGCUGAACUUCUGGUUGUAGGCUGAGCUGGAUGGAGACAGAUGCAGCUCUAGUGAUUCUGCUGAACUUUGGAUUCCCUGGGCACAUAAGAAAAGGGUUGUGCUACAGGGUCCAGGGGCCCAAGUCAGACAGUACCGGGCAUGACUUCCACCAAUAAUUAUGAAGGCUGCUGAAUACACCAGCUACUGCUCUGGAAGCUAGAGACACAAUGGACAAUAGGAUGAGACUGAGUCUGUCCUUGUGGAGCGUAAAUUAUUUUUUACAGGAUCGAUAUAAAUAACCAAGUAAAAAAAAUACAGAGUUUCAUUAACACCAAUAAACAGAGUGAUGAAAAGAGAGUUGCUAUUAGUCCAUUUGCUGUUAUAAUAACAAGGAACCUGAGCACAGACCCGUCCACCUCCUGACAUGGGCUCCCACAGGACACUGCAGUGAGUUCCACACCUUCGACUGCAUUCUUUAGCUCUUCAGUAUGCAGAAAGGCCUUCUGGACCCUUCCUCACCUGACUCUGCAUAAAGACAAUUUUGAGGACUUCUGGGAAGAUGGUAGAGUGGUGAACAACAAAGAAACAGUCUCUCCAAGACUGGGAGUCCAGACUCUGGAAUACAGCAACGUGAGAAAGAGAAGGAGGGAAGUGGGUCCCCGGGACUCAGCAAGGAUCUGAAGUGAGGAUUGAAGGCCAUGAGGAGAGUGAAAAGAGAGACCUCAGUGCAGAAGAAAGAGGUGGCAAACAGCACUUUUUCCCCGAGCCCUGUCUCACUGUGUGGGAGGGGCAGCUCAAACCUACAGAUGCACAGUGAUUACUGGUGACCUUAGAGGCCACCACAGAAAAAUGUACCAAUGGACGGAGCAGUGGACAGCAGACUACAGUGGCUGGUGAGUUUUUUUUAUGUUUUUAG